ACCUUUCGGGCAACAGCAUAACCACAAUACUGGAGAAUGCAUUUAGUGGUCUGUCAAGUCUACCAAUUCUAGACCUACGUAGCAGCAGCAUAACCACAAUACAGGAGAAUGCAUUUAAUGGUCUGUCACAUCUACGGACUCUAUACCUAUCCAAUAACAGAAUAACCACAAUACAGGAGAAUGCAUUUAGUGACCGGUC
Saccostrea cuccullata (small rock oyster) is the source of this 199-nucleotide long non-coding RNA. RefSeq lists it as uncharacterized. The transcript is spliced from 3 exons. NCBI's taxonomy places the organism in Eukaryota, Metazoa, Mollusca, Bivalvia, Ostreida, Ostreidae. The record is from RefSeq and is a predicted model, not a curated record.